RNAcentral lists this non-coding RNA (60 nucleotides) under Spodoptera frugiperda (fall armyworm). Lineage: Eukaryota; Metazoa; Arthropoda; Insecta; Lepidoptera; Noctuidae. The record is from RNAcentral.
UUAUGGCGGACAGUUAAAAAACAUGUUUUAUCAUCCAUGUUUUUUCCGUCCACCAUAUUU